Molecule: ribosomal RNA, 402 nt
Filed under: Verrucomicrobiota bacterium
Lineage: Bacteria; Pseudomonadati; Verrucomicrobiota
Description: Verrucomicrobia bacterium partial 16S ribosomal RNA
Rfam family: Bacterial small subunit ribosomal RNA
Source: RNAcentral
UGGGGAAUUUUGCACAAUGGGGGAAACCCUGAUGCAGCGACGCCGCGUGAUUUAGAAGGCCUUCGGGUUGUAAAAAUCUUUUUUAUGGGAUGAAAAUGACAGUACCAUAAGAAUAAGGUCCGGAUAAAUACGUGCCAGCAGCCGCGGUAAUACGUAUGGACCGAGCGUUGUCCGGAAUCAUUGGGCGUAAAGGGUACGUAGGCGGCCCAGUAAGUUAGAAGUGAAAUAAUAUAGCUCAACUAUAUAAAGCUUUUAAAACUGCUAGGCUUGAGAGAUGGAAGGGAAAGUGGAAUUCCUAGUGUAGCGGUGAAAUGCGCAGAUAUUAGGAAGAAUACCGGUGGCGAAGGCGACUUUCUGGUCAUCAUCUGACGCUGAGGUACGAAAGCGUGGGUAGCAAACAGG